RNAcentral lists this ribosomal RNA (995 nucleotides) under Micrococcus sp. UA-AR0114. RNAcentral's name for it is "bacterial SSU rRNA". It matches the Rfam family "Bacterial small subunit ribosomal RNA", at positions 406 to 1411 of the family's 1533-position model. Lineage: Bacteria; Bacillati; Actinomycetota; Actinomycetes; Micrococcales; Micrococcaceae. The record is from RNAcentral.
GGAUGACGGCCUUCGGGUUGUAAACCUCUUUCAGUAGGGAAGAAGCGAAAGUGACGGUACCUGCAGAAGAAGCACCGGCUAACUACGUGCCAGCAGCCGCGGUAAUACGUAGGGUGCGAGCGUUAUCCGGAAUUAUUGGGCGUAAAGAGCUCGUAGGCGGUUUGUCGCGUCUGUCGUGAAAGUCCGGGGCUUAACCCCGGAUCUGCGGUGGGUACGGGCAGACUAGAGUGCAGUAGGGGAGACUGGAAUUCCUGGUGUAGCGGUGGAAUGCGCAGAUAUCAGGAGGAACACCGAUGGCGAAGGCAGGUCUCUGGGCUGUAACUGACGCUGAGGAGCGAAAGCAUGGGGAGCGAACAGGAUUAGAUACCCUGGUAGUCCAUGCCGUAAACGUUGGGCACUAGGUGUGGGGAACAUUCCACGUUUUCCGCGCCGCAGCUAACGCAUUAAGUGCCCCGCCUGGGGAGUACGGCCGCAAGGCUAAAACUCAAAGGAAUUGACGGGGGCCCGCACAAGCGGCGGAGCAUGCGGAUUAAUUCGAUGCAACGCGAAGAACCUUACCAAGGCUUGACAUGUUCUCGAUCGCCGUAGAGAUACGGUUUCCCCUUUGGGGCGGGUUCACAGGUGGUGCAUGGUUGUCGUCAGCUCGUGUCGUGAGAUGUUGGGUUAAGUCCCGCAACGAGCGCAACCCUCGUUCCAUGUUGCCAGCACUUCGGGUGGGGACUCAUGGGAGACUGCCGGGGUCAACUCGGAGGAAGGUGGGGACGACGUCAAAUCAUCAUGCCCCUUAUGUCUUGGGCUUCACGCAUGCUACAAUGGCCGGUACAAUGGGUUUCGGUACUCUGAGGUGGAGCUAAUCCCAAAAAGCCGGUCUCAGUUCGGAUUGGGGUCUGCAACUCGACCCCAUGAAGUGGGAGUCGCUUGUAAUCGCAGAUCAGCAACGCUGCGGUGAAUACGUUCCCGGGCCUUGUACACACCGCCCGUCAAGUCACGAAAGU